Potamilus streckersoni is the source of this 72-nucleotide non-coding RNA. NCBI's taxonomy places the organism in Eukaryota, Metazoa, Mollusca, Bivalvia, Unionida, Unionidae. The record is from the annotation of a GenBank genome assembly.
GCUCCAGUGGCCUAGUGGUUAGAGUGUCUCUCCUGGAUUCGGGAGGUCAUGGGUUCGAUCCCCAGUCGAGUC